UUCUGUCGUAUUUUGAAGUCAGCAUAGAUGUAUCCUUCACUGCCUUUGAUAUCCCACAAUCAUGUGCGUUCCAUUCCUUGACAGUUGAGCUAAAAAA
Long non-coding RNA from Sinocyclocheilus anshuiensis, 97 nucleotides. RefSeq lists it as uncharacterized. Lineage: Eukaryota; Metazoa; Chordata; Actinopteri; Cypriniformes; Cyprinidae. The transcript is spliced from 3 exons. The record is from RefSeq and is a predicted model, not a curated record.